UGAAGAUCAUCUAUAAACCUAAUCGGAAAUGUCUGGAAUGUUUAUCGUUCAGUUUGGCGGUCGAAGAUGACGUCAGUGAUACUAUUUGCAAGACAUGUGUUUUCAUUUGCCUUUUGAUGGAAGAUUUCAUAAUUGAAGAAAAUUCCACUUGAUGCGUAUUGAACGGUCCCAUCAAGGCAGUCGUGUCGUGUCGUGUCGUGGUGACAAAAUUCCUCAAAUAAAGGAAAGUUUUAGAGAGGAUGUUGAAGGUUCUCUCAAAAUUGAUAAUCCAACUUCAAGCCGCUGGUGUGCAUAAAUUAUUACAUAAACGAACGGAAUUUGUUAAUGCCAAAUAUAGACAAUUGUUUUAGCUUUUGAAUGUCAUUGUUUGUGGUAUAUGGAACAAAAUUAAUCAAGUCAAAAGGGUUGAAAAAGUUUUGUCUAAAGCGCAUUUUUUUUCACCUCUGUGUAAGAUUUUUUAAUUUAUACAGUAUUCGUUGAAACAUAUUUACAUGUGAUAACCCAAAAUUUCAAA
Molecule: long non-coding RNA, 514 nt
Organism: Xenia sp. Carnegie-2017
Lineage: Eukaryota; Metazoa; Cnidaria; Anthozoa; Malacalcyonacea; Xeniidae
Exons: 3
Source: RefSeq, a predicted model, not a curated record